CGGCCCACUAUGCCUCGUGCCGGGCCGGCCCGUGACGGGCCAGGCACGCGGGCUAACGUGCCGGCCCGUAAAAACCGGCCCGUUUGGCCAGGUAUAGCCGCAGCCACCGCCUGCCUUCACGGCCUCCCCGAUCUAUAAAAACCCCCCACCAUCACCGUGACUACCCCUUUCACCCUAACCCUACCACACCGCCGCCGCCGCCGCCUCCUCCCCCUCCACUCCUCCCGAUUCCGAUCUGCGUCAAGCGUGAGGCGAGAUGUCUGCGGCGAUCCGCUCGGUCUCACGCCGGCUGGCCACAGCCGGAGCCGUCCACGGUGCGCAGGGUGGUACCCCUGCUGUCGCCGCCCCAGUUCAUCGCCCGGUGAUAACCCUCCCUGCCCGUGGCUAUUCUGCUUCGUCUGCAGGGUAAAAACUCGCCCUUCCUUGAUUUCCUGCGUUUCCAUAUCUAUGCAUAUAGUUUAGUUAGAUUCACCAUGUCACGUGAUAUAGUGCCAUAUGCACUGAUCCGGUCCUCUUCCAGUCCUUGACGCGAUUACAAGUAUGUGGUACCUCGUUGUUACUAGUCGUGAUUCUUUACUCUUUAUUUAAGAUUACUUCAAUUGCUAAGGAGACUGGCCAGAGGCUGUACAAAGCUGUUCUUCGGUCCACCCCGUUCAUGGCAUCAGUCACCACCUAUGCAACUGUGGUUUCGGCAGUUGGAUACUGGGUCACUGAGACUGUUGAGGGUGGAGUGAAUAAGAAGCUUGUUGAGCAGAAUAACACUCUCGCCGUGAAGCUUGAAGCGAGAAGGUGAAGCGUGAGGGCUUUCAGAGCAUAGCUACCCAUGCCCAUCAGGAGAGUGCCCGCAGGAUUGAUGAAUGAAUGUUUGAUGUACGUCUUCAGCUCAACAAACUGUUCCUCCGCUGGUUGGAGUUGACAUGAGGUCAACUUGAAAAGAAUGAACGACAUGGAGCAAAGGAUUGAUGCAUUGACAAGGGAGGUUGAUGCAUUGAAGAAGUCUCCUUCUGCAAAGGAUGAUGAUACGCCAAUCAAGACGAGCUGAGACCAGACCUGACCGCGCCUGUGGGGGUAAGCACCCUAAGGCGACCUCUUCGCUUGUUGGGGUGAGAACCCGAAGGCGACCUCUCUUCCCUUUGGGGUGAGCACCCAAAGGCAACCUCUGCGAUCUCUCCGUCUGUUGGGGUGAGCACCCGAAGGCGACCUCUGCGAUCUCUCCGUCUGUUGGGGUGAGCACCCGAAGGCGACCUCUGCGAUCUCUCCGUCUGUUGGGGUGAGCACCUGAAGGCGACCUCUGCGAUCUCUUCGUCUGUUGGUGUGAGCACCCGAAGGCGACCUCUGCGAUCUCUCCGUCUGUUGGGGUGAGCACCCAAAGGCGACCUCUGCGAUCUCUCCGUCUGUUGGGGUGAGCACCCGAAGGCGACCUCUGCGAUCUCUCCGUCUGUUGAGGUGAGCACCCGAAGGCGACCUCUGCGAUCUCUCCGUCUGUUGGGGUGAGCACCCGAAGGCGACCUCUCCUUAAGAUACCCAAGCCUCAAUGACUUUACUUCAUGCUUGUGGGAGUGAUACUAAAUCCUCAUUACCAUCUUCAGACCUGUGUUAUGUUAAAGUUUAAGUCUAAAGACCUUGCAUCAUAUCUAUUCAUGAUUUUAGCCAUCAUGUUCUUGUAAGGAUUAUUGCUACCUGCUAUGGUAUUUGUUACUUAGUAGUAACUGAUGUUUCUGCAUAUUGGUUUCGUUUC
Molecule: long non-coding RNA, 1738 nt
Organism: Triticum dicoccoides
Lineage: Eukaryota; Viridiplantae; Streptophyta; Magnoliopsida; Poales; Poaceae
Exons: 2
Source: RefSeq, a predicted model, not a curated record